UGCCAAGACUGACAUCUCCUUUUGGACAUGU
Molecule: non-coding RNA, 31 nt
Filed under: Mus musculus (house mouse)
Lineage: Eukaryota; Metazoa; Chordata; Mammalia; Rodentia; Muridae
Source: RNAcentral